UGCGCGUGAAUAUUAGGACAAUGGGCGCAAGCCUGAUCCAGCCAUGCCGCGUGAGUGAUGAAGGCCCUAGGGUUGUAAAGCUCUUUCAACGGUGAAGAUAAUGACGGUAACCGUAGAAGAAGCCCCGGCUAACUUCGUGCCAGCAGCCGCGGUAAUUAAAA
RNAcentral lists this ribosomal RNA (161 nucleotides) under uncultured Mesorhizobium sp. RNAcentral's name for it is "partial 16S ribosomal DNA". It matches the Rfam family "Bacterial small subunit ribosomal RNA", at positions 352 to 529 of the family's 1533-position model. The record is from RNAcentral. Lineage: Bacteria; Pseudomonadati; Pseudomonadota; Alphaproteobacteria; Hyphomicrobiales; Phyllobacteriaceae.